Molecule: ribosomal RNA, 253 nt
Filed under: uncultured bacterium
Lineage: Bacteria
Description: partial 16S ribosomal RNA
Rfam family: Bacterial small subunit ribosomal RNA
Source: RNAcentral
UACGGAGGGGGCCAGCGUUGUUCGGAAUUAUUGGGCGUAAAGGGCGCGUAGGCGGCCAUUCAAGUCGGACGUGAAAUCCCUCGGCUCAACCGGGGAAUUGCGUCUGAUACUGUUUGGCUUGAGUCCUGGAGAGGGUAGUGGAAUUCCCAGUGUAGCGGUGAAAUGCGUAGAUACUGGGAGGAACACCGGUGGCGAAGGCGGCUACCUGGACAGCGACUGACGCUGAGGCGCGAAAGCUAGGGGAGCAAACAGG